This 301-nucleotide ribosomal RNA is filed under the name uncultured bacterium. RNAcentral's name for it is "partial 16S ribosomal RNA". It matches the Rfam family "Bacterial small subunit ribosomal RNA", at positions 509 to 807 of the family's 1533-position model. The record is from RNAcentral.
CAGCAGCCGCGGUAAUACGUAGGGCGCAAGCGUUAAUCGGAUUUACUGGGCGUAAAGCGUGCGUAGGCGGCUUCUUAAGUCGGAUGUGAAAUCCCUGAGCUUAACUUAGGAAUUGCAUUCGAUACUGGGAAGCUAGAGUAUGGGAGAGGAUGGUAGAAUUCCAGGUGUAGCGGUGAAAUGCGUAGAGAUCUGGAGGAAUACCGAUGGCGAAGGCAGCCAUCUGGCCUAAUACUGACGCUGAGGUACGAAAGCAUGGGGAGCAAACAGGAUUAGAGACCCCAGUAGUCCCUGUCUCUUAUAC